This is a long non-coding RNA of Xiphophorus couchianus (Monterrey platyfish), 1749 nucleotides long. RefSeq lists it as uncharacterized. NCBI's taxonomy places the organism in Eukaryota, Metazoa, Chordata, Actinopteri, Cyprinodontiformes, Poeciliidae. The transcript is spliced from 3 exons. The record is from RefSeq and is a predicted model, not a curated record.
CAUUCUUAUAAAUACUCAAAUUUCAUAUAAUUUAAUCUAAAUGUAUUUAUUUUCUGAACAUUUUACAUUUCACUAUUUCUGUUUAUCACGUUGGUGAUUCUUGUUUGGACUAGUUUAACUGUGUGCAAAAGACGGCUGCAUAUUUUUCUGCAUUUUUGGGUUCAAACAUGUCAAAUUUACAACAAAUAGGCUGUUUUGAGUCAUUCCCAUUAGAAAAAGAAACUUUUGUUACAAAACAGCAAAGAAAAAAUUAUUUUAAGUAAGGAAGUAAAAUACCUUUGUAUCCAUGUUAUGGUUGAAGCAGCUGAAAGGAUUUUAUACUUUUAAGAGAAAAAAAAAGGAAAUGUUUUUAUCUCUCUUAUGAGAGUUUUGGGCCUAACGUAUAAAUAUAAGUAUAACUAGGUAAGUAAAAAACAUGAGAAAUUAUUUGGAAAUAUGUGUUGCACGUCUUUUAGACUGAUUUGAGAGUCUUUUAAAAAAGAAAGCAGAAAAAAAACAUUUAAAUUGCAGACAGCUAAAACAAAAAACACCCACACAUGCACCAAAUCCACACAACAGCCGGAACGAAACACUCCAUGAAAUGUGCCCUGCUGGCAGCCUACAGACUCUCAAGUGAUAAAAUCAGUGGACACUAUCCAGGAAUGACCACAAAAAUAAAACAGUUUUGAUGCUAAACAUCAUUCUUAUUAAUAUAUUCUUCUUAUUUUAUCUUUUCUUCUAUAAACUGCAGCAGCAAAGGCACAAAAAAAAAAAAAAAAAAGGUACUUCUCGUCCUAAUCAUUAAUGAAUGCAAACAGUUAUCCUGUGGAUCCUCGAGGCGAGGCGUACACUGGGAAACUAUCCAACUGGAAAAGUUGGUCCUAAAUUGCAGUUUAUUGAGCUGCUCACAGCUGGGCCGGCGGAGCCCUGAUGACUCAUGAUAACCUGCUGGAGUGAAGCAGCCGCGCUCAGCGCAGCAGGACGAAUGGGGGUUUUACAUAAUUUGCAUUUCCGCUGCUGCUGCAACUUCUGCAGGUUACGUGACACCGGGCAGGACAGGCGUUACACAAGGACGGCAGCUCUGCUUUCGCCCACAGACAGGUAGCGGCUGUUGACCCACGAGCUGCUGAAACACCAACACAAGACUGUUUACACUGGACAGGGUCGAACGUAGCAAGACAAAGAAGGAGGAACGUAAAGAGGCUUUAAAAAGUGAAGGGAAAGUUAUGGAUGUUCAGAAGAAUGCAGGAACCGCUUCACCGAUAUAAACCGUAAGAAUUACCUCAAGCUCAUGUCAGAUUGGACGGAAACUGCAAUUUUCUAUUAGAUAAAGGUUUGGACUUUGACUGGGCCAUUCUAACACAUGAAAAUUUUUAAAUCUAAACCAGCUCUGGCUGCAUGUUUUGGUCUUAAAUCGUCUGCAGCUUCUUGGUUCCAUGUUUCCAUCAAAUCAGGCCAGCUUCUCUGUUCCUGCUGGAGAAACGAACCCCCAGAGCAUGACGCUACCACUACCAUGUCUUAAACAUGGGGACGGUUUGUUCAGGUUUCUUUACAUCACAUCCUUUUCCUGCAGCAGUCAGUGUAAAGAGGUGAGCAGCCGGAUCCACAAAAUGCCCGAGUGUUUUGACUGAAAGGCCGUCAAUGUUUUUAAAGAAGUCCUUCCUGAAUUCCUGAAUUUGUUGAGACGGUUUUCAGACAUCCUGUAAGUCUGAUCACAUCAUGUUGGCGCAAACGUUUUACUUUUUUCAGCGUUUAAGUAUCAGACAACAA